UACGGAGGGUGCAAGCGUUGUCCGGAUUUAUUGGGUUUAAAGGGUGCGUAGGCGGCUGUUUAAGUCAGCGGUGAAAGUUUUGGGCUCAACCCAGAAAUUGCCAUUGAUACUGGACAGCUUGAGUAUUGGAGGGGUACAUGGAAUUGAUGGUGUAGCGGUGAAAUGCAUAGAUACCAGCAGGAAAAACGAUAGCGAAGGCAUUGUACUGGCCAAUAGCUGACGCUGAUGCGCGAGAGCAUGGGUAGCGAACAGG
RNAcentral lists this ribosomal RNA (253 nucleotides) under uncultured bacterium. RNAcentral's name for it is "partial 16S ribosomal RNA". It matches the Rfam family "Bacterial small subunit ribosomal RNA", at positions 524 to 776 of the family's 1533-position model. The record is from RNAcentral.